This is a long non-coding RNA of Lutra lutra (Eurasian river otter), 791 nucleotides long. RefSeq lists it as uncharacterized. The record is from RefSeq and is a predicted model, not a curated record. The transcript is spliced from 4 exons. NCBI's taxonomy places the organism in Eukaryota, Metazoa, Chordata, Mammalia, Carnivora, Mustelidae.
CACAACAGCUUAGCAAGCUGGCAGCUCCUGUGACUUGGGACUGCUCUUUUUGUCCCUCCCUGUUCUUUCCUGCCAGCAGGCUCCUAAUCUCUCUUGGCAUUAGGACUCGGUCUCUGGCUAGGGGACCUGCACCUAUGGACACUCAGCUAGAGUGACCCUGAGACGGACUCAGCAUAAACACGGCCUCUCCUGAGACAAGUUUCUGGGGAACCUCCACUUUCACACAACCUGUCUUCCAGUGAAAUUGAGAAGGCAGCAAAGAAUCAAGUUUGGGCUGGCAUUUCCUGGAGCUGCUGGCUUUGCAGUUUCCUGGCUGUGCAAUCUUGGGCAAUAUUCCCAUAUUCCCAUCACCCACCCUGAGACUUCUUUCCUGCAUCUGUAAGCUUCUGGCUGCCGGAAUCAGGAGGUUGGCCGAAACAAAGAGACAAGUAAGAACAAGUAUAUCACCUAGUUAAGAUCCUCCUGAGAAAACACUUCUUAUCAAGUGGACCAGGUGCACAUCUUGCCUCUCCCUGAGUAGUGGGUUCAUUCAGUUCUCUGCCCCCUCACAGCAUUCUUUGAGCCAGGCAGUCACGUCCUGAUGCCUAUCCACCGAUGUCAGUGGGGUAUUAAAGUCCCCCACUAUUAUUGGAUUGCUGUCAAUUCCUUCCUUUAGGUCUGUUAAUACUUGCUUACAUGUAAGCCUCAUGGUAACCACAAAGCCAAAAUCUAUAGUAAAUAUAAAAAGAUAGAGAAAAAGGAACAUAAUUAUACCACAAACGUGUAUCAUCAAACCACAAAGGAAGAGAGCA